UGCUAUGAUGAUGUAAUUUGCGUCUUAUCCAGUGUUCAGUGACAGUUGCCUGCUGUCAGCAAGCUGGCACUGUUGAAUUGAAGACCCCUUCAUUCUGAGCA
Molecule: small nucleolar RNA, 101 nt
Organism: Accipiter nisus (Eurasian sparrowhawk)
Lineage: Eukaryota; Metazoa; Chordata; Aves; Accipitriformes; Accipitridae
Gene: SNORD16
Rfam family: Small nucleolar RNA SNORD16
About the family: U16 is a member of the C/D class of snoRNA which contain the C (UGAUGA) and D (CUGA) box motifs. U81 acts as a guanine methylation guide and is found in an intron of ribosomal proteins L1 gene in animals.
Source: Ensembl